GACGGAGGGUGCAAACGUUGCUCGGAAUUACUGGGCGUAAAGCGCGUGUAGGCGGGCCUUCAAGUCGGACGUGAAAUCCCUGAGCUCAACUCAGGAACUGCAUCCGAAACUGAAGGCCUGGAGUAGUGGAGAGGGAAGCAGAAUUCCUGGUGUAGAGGUGAAAUUCGUAGAUAUCAGGAGGAACACCGGUGGCGAAGGCGGCUUCCUGG
Molecule: ribosomal RNA, 209 nt
Filed under: uncultured prokaryote
Description: partial 16S ribosomal RNA
Rfam family: Bacterial small subunit ribosomal RNA
Source: RNAcentral